RNAcentral lists this unclassified non-coding RNA (300 nucleotides) under uncultured Ascomycota. Its description in RNAcentral is "sequence contains 5.8S rRNA gene, ITS2". The stretch from base 1 to 94 matches the Rfam family "5.8S ribosomal RNA", at positions 56 to 154 of the family's 154-position model. The record is from RNAcentral. Lineage: Eukaryota; Fungi; Ascomycota.
CGUCAGAUGUGUAUAAGAGACAGGUGAAUCAUCGAAUCUUUGAACGCACAUUGCGCCCUCUGGUAUUCCGGAGGGCAUGCCUGUUCGAGCGUCAUUAUGACCAAAUCACCUUCUGGUGGACUUGGAGCUGGCCGUUAGGCCUCUCUCAAAAUCAGUGGCGGUGCUAGUAAGCUCUACGCGUAGUAAUUUUUCUCGCGACAGUGCCUUGCUAGUCCUUGCCAGCAACCCCAAUUUUUUUUAAGGUUGACCUCGGAUCAGGUAGGGAUACCCGCUGAACUUAAGCAUAUCAAUAAGCGGAGG